RNAcentral lists this ribosomal RNA (497 nucleotides) under uncultured bacterium. Its description in RNAcentral is "partial 16S ribosomal RNA". It matches the Rfam family "Bacterial small subunit ribosomal RNA", at positions 28 to 507 of the family's 1533-position model. The record is from RNAcentral.
GAUGAACGCUGGCGGCGUGCCUAAUACAUGCAAGUCGAGCGAACGGACGAGAAGCUUGCUUCUCUGAUGUUAGCGGCGGACGGGUGAGUAACACGUGGAUAACCUACCUAUAAGACUGGGAUAACUUCGGGAAACCGUAGCUAAUACCGGAUAAUAUUUUGAACCGCAUGGUUCAAAAGUGAAAGACGGUCUUGCUGUCACUUAUAGAUGGAUCCGCGCUGCAUUAGCUAGUUGGUAAGGUAACGGCUUACCAAGGCAACGAUGCAUAGCCGACCUGAGAGGGUGAUCGGCCACACUGGAACUGAGACACGGUCCAGACUCCUACGGGAGGCAGCAGUAGGGAAUCCUCCGCAAUGGGCGAAAGCCUGACGGAGCAACGCCGCGUGAGUGAUGAAGGUCUUCGGAUCGUAAAACUCUGUUAUUAGGGAAGAACAUAUGUGUAAGUAACUGUGCUCAUCUUGACGGUACCUAAUCAGAAAGCCACGGCUAACUACGUG